RNAcentral lists this ribosomal RNA (729 nucleotides) under uncultured Enterobacteriaceae bacterium. RNAcentral describes it as "bacterial SSU rRNA". It matches the Rfam family "Bacterial small subunit ribosomal RNA", at positions 769 to 1502 of the family's 1533-position model. Lineage: Bacteria; Pseudomonadati; Pseudomonadota; Gammaproteobacteria; Enterobacterales; Enterobacteriaceae. The record is from RNAcentral.
CAAACAGGAUUAGAUACCUGGUAGUCACGCUGUAAACGAUGUCGAUUUGGAGUUUGUUGCCUAGAGUGAUGGGCUCCGAAGCUAACGCGAUAAUCGACCGCCUGGGGAGUACGGCCGCAAGGUUAAACUCAAAUGAAUUGACGGGGGCCCGCACAAGCGGUGGAGCAUGUGGUUUAAUUCGAUGCAACGCGAAGAACCUUACCUGGUCUUGACAUCCAUAGAAUUCUGCAGAGAUGUGGGAGUGCCUUCGGGAACUAUGAGACAGGUGCUGCAUGGCUGUCGUCAGCUCGUGUUGUGAAAUGUUGGGUUAAGUCCCGCAACGAGCGCAACCCUUAUUCUUUGUUGCCAGCGAUUUGGUCGGGAACUCAAAGGAGACUGCCGUUGAUAAAGCGGAGGAAGGUGGGGACGACGUCAAGUCAUCAUGGCCCUUACGACCAGGGCUACACACGUGCUACAAUGGCGUAUACAAAGGGAAGCGAAGGUGCGAGCUGGAGCGGAUCUCAUAAAGUACGUCUAAGUUCGGAUUGGAGUCUGCAACUCGACUCCAUGAAGUCGGAAUCGCUAGUAAUCGUAGAUCAGAAUGCUACGGUGAAUACGUUCCCGGGCCUUGUACACACCGCCCGUCACACCAUGGGAGUGGGUUGCACCAGAAGUAGAUAGCUUAACCGCGAGGGGGGCGUUUACCACGGUGUGAUUCAUGACUGGGGUGAAGUCGUAACAAGGUAACCA